This 285-nucleotide ribosomal RNA is filed under the name uncultured bacterium. RNAcentral's name for it is "partial 16S ribosomal RNA". It matches the Rfam family "Bacterial small subunit ribosomal RNA", at positions 334 to 614 of the family's 1533-position model. The record is from RNAcentral.
UAGUGCCUACGGGACGCAGCAGUGAGGAAUAUUGGUCAAUGGCCGAGAGGCUGAACCAGCCAAGUCGCGUGAGGGAUGACGGCCCUACGGGUUGUAAACCUCUUUUGUCGGGGAGCAAGACCCGCCUCGUGCAGGCGGAGCGAGAGUACCCGAAGAAAAAGCAUCGGCUAACUCCGUGCCAGCAGCCGCGGUAAUACGGAGGAUGCGAGCGUUAUCCGGAUUUAUUGGGUUUAAAGGGUGCGCAGGCGGACCAUCAAGUCAGCGGGAAAAUCGUGGGGCCUAACC